AAGUCGUAACAAGGUUUCCGUAGGUGAACCUGCGGAAGGAUCAUUAACACGUAUCCAACGUUAAACCCCCCGUGCACACAGCGACCUGCUCCCCUCAAUUUCGGUCUUUUGGCAAUCCCUGGUAAAUCAUCGCCGAACAGUUUUGAUUCAGGGACAUCCAAAGGGCCGGGGUAGGGUAUUAAAGUAGUAGUCAAUGCAAAAGCGACCUGGUUUCUUUGAAGCAGAAAGUGUGAUGGCGUGAGCCGGAGAACGGACCGAGUGGUAGUUCAAAGGUGCCUUCUGUCGCGCACUGUGGAAAGGAAGACGCUUUACGAAUCACUGUCCAACACGGUCAGUGACCGGUUCCUGGUCCUAGACCCCAUAUUCACCACCACAGUCACAGACGAGGUAGAUACCACCAAAUAAAUACUUGAACAACCAUGGAUAUCUUGGUUCUC
This 437-nucleotide unclassified non-coding RNA is filed under the name fungal sp. RNAcentral's name for it is "partial internal transcribed spacer region". The stretch from base 1 to 46 matches the Rfam family "Eukaryotic small subunit ribosomal RNA", at positions 1786 to 1831 of the family's 1831-position model. Lineage: Eukaryota; Fungi. The record is from RNAcentral.